GUUAUUAUUUACAUUAAUAAAUUUGUUGUGCAAUUCAAUAUAACUUGAAAUAAUUAUCUAAUUUUUAUUUUUUUUCUCAUUUUUUAAAAAAAUUAUUUUGUUUUUUAGUAUUUUUUGAAUUAAUAUAUUUUUAUUAUAGUUUAUUUUACUGUAAAGGAUUUAUUUAUAUUUUGUUUAAGUAUUUUUUGUUUAAUGUACCUUUUGCAUCAGGGUUUAUCAAAUUAAUAAAAUUAUUUUAUUUUCUCGAAAUUUUGGGAUUUAAACUUUAAUGAUUUUUAUUGUAACAAAAAUAUUUUUAAUUAUGGUUUAGAUGUUAUAUGCUUUUCAUCCAAAAUGAUAUCUAGUUUAUUGAUAAAUGAAUUUAAUUCAUUCUUAAAAAGCUUAUUUUACUUUAAUUAUUUUAUGUUUUUUAGGUUAAAUUCGAUAGGGAUAAGCUUAUCUUAUUUUUUAAAACUUUUUUUUAUUAAGAUUUCUAAUAGGAUUGAAAAUUUCUAUUUUUUAUUUUUUUAUAAUUAUAUUUCUUUUUUUAUUAUUUUUUAUCGUUUAAUUUUUUAUCAUUAUUUUUUAUUUUAAUUUAUUUUUUUUCUAAUAAUGAUAAAAUUAGUAAUUUUUAUAAUUUUAAAAUAGUAACUCGGCAAAAUUAAUUUUCACCUGUUUAACAAAAACAUGGUCUUUCGUUUUAUAUAUAAGAUCAGGCCUGCCCAUUGAUUUUUGAAAAUUAAAAGGCUGCGGUAUUUUAACUGUACUAAGGUAGCAUAAUCAUUUGUCUUUUAAUUGAAGGCUAGUAUGAAUGGUUUGAUGAAAAAUUAACUUUCUUUUUUAAAUUAUUACGAACUUAAUUUUUUAGUUAAAAAGCUAAAAUUUUUUUAUAGGACGAGAAGACCCUAUAGAAGUUUACUUUUUAUAGUAAAAUUGAAUUUUAGUUUAUAUAUUUUUUUUAUAAAUUAAAAGUUUUGUUGGGGUGAUAUUAAAAUUUAUUUAACUUUUAAUUAUUAUUUCAUUUAUUUAUGUUUUAUUGAUCCAUAUUAUUUUGAUUAAAAGAUUAACUUACCUUAGGGAUAACAGCGUAAUUUUUUUGGAGAGUUCAUAUCGAUAAAAAAGCUUGCGACCUCGAUGUUGAAUUAAGAUUAGAUUUGGGGGUAAAAUUUCAAUUUUCUUGGUCUGUUCGACCAUUAAAUUCUUACAUGAUUUGAGUUCAGACCGGCGUAAGCCAGGUCGGUUUCUAUCCUUAUUUUAUAUAAAUUAGUACGAAAGGACCAUUUAUAUUAAUUAAAUUAUUUUUUUUGA
Molecule: ribosomal RNA, 1287 nt
Filed under: Microvelia americana
Lineage: Eukaryota; Metazoa; Arthropoda; Insecta; Hemiptera; Veliidae
Description: partial 16S ribosomal RNA
Rfam family: Archaeal large subunit ribosomal RNA (bases 1058-1217)
Source: RNAcentral